GACGUAGGGCGCGAGCGUUGUCCGGAUUUAUUGGGCGUAAAGAGCUCGUAGGCGGCUUGUUGCGUCGACUGUGAAAACCCGCGGCUUAACUGCGGGCUUGCAGUUGAUACGGGCAGGCUAGAGUUCGGUAGGGGAGACUGGAAUUCCUGGUGUAGCGGUGAAAUGCGCAGAUAUCAGGAGGAAUACCGAUGGCGAAGGCAGGUCUCUGGGCCAAUACUGACGCUCAUGCACGAAAGCGUGGGGAGCAAACAGG
Molecule: ribosomal RNA, 253 nt
Filed under: uncultured bacterium
Lineage: Bacteria
Description: partial 16S ribosomal RNA
Rfam family: Bacterial small subunit ribosomal RNA
Source: RNAcentral